UUGUUAGGCACCCUUAUACCUAUUUGAGUUUGAUUACAUUGACUAAUUAUAAGAGUUAGAGAUGGAUUAGGAGUGUUUAGACAACACUUAUACCCAUUUUCUCUUAAAACAGGCUAAAACCAACAAAAAAUUGCUUGAAGCAGUAAAUAGCUUUGUUAGUGUUCCUAUGUUCAAAAUGAGUCACAAUCCAAAUCCUUUGACUAAAUUUAAGAGUUAGAGAUGGAUUAAGAGUGUUUAAACAAUACUUAUACCCAUUUUCUCCUAAAAGAGACUAAAACCAGCAAAAAUUUGUUUAAAAGCAGUAAAUAGCUUUGUUAGUGUUUAUAUGGUCAAAAUGUGUCACAGUCCAAAGCAUUUGACUAAUUAUAAGAGUUAUAGAUGGAUUAAGAGUGUUUAGACAAUACUUAUACCUAUUUUCUCCUAAAAUAGGCUAAAACCAAUAAAAAAAUUGCUUAGAAGCAGUAAAUAGCUUUGUUAGUGUUUCCAUGGUCAAAAUGUAUCACGAUCCAAUGUAUUUGACUAAUUCUAUCAGUUACUGAUGGAUUAGGAAUGUUUACACAACACUUAUACCCAUUUUGUCUUAAAAGAGGCUAAAACCAACAAAAAAUUGCUUAGAAGUAGUAAAUAGCUUUGUUAGUGCUUCUAUGGUCAAAAUGUGUCAUAAUCCAAUGCAUUUGACUAAUUAUAAGAGAUAAAGAUAGAUUAAGAGUGUUUGGACAACACUUAUACCCAUUUUCUCCCAGAAGAGGCUAAAACCAACAAAAAAA
RNAcentral lists this small RNA (767 nucleotides) under Arabidopsis thaliana (thale cress). Its description in RNAcentral is "ATSL035660". The record is from RNAcentral. Lineage: Eukaryota; Viridiplantae; Streptophyta; Magnoliopsida; Brassicales; Brassicaceae.